GACGAACUGUCCAAACGUUAUUCGGAAUCACUGGGCUUAAAGGGUGCGUAGGCGGCGCCGCAAGUGGGAUCUGAAAUCCCCCGGCUCAACCGGGGAACUGGGUUCCAAACUGCGGAGCUUGAGUGAGGCAGGGGUAAGUGGAACUUGCGGUGGAGCGGUGAAAUGCUUUGAUAUCGCAAGGAACACCGGUGGCGAAGGCGACUUACUGGGCCUUAACUGACGCUGAAGCACGAAAGCCAGGGUAGCGAAC
RNAcentral lists this ribosomal RNA (250 nucleotides) under uncultured prokaryote. RNAcentral describes it as "partial 16S ribosomal RNA". It matches the Rfam family "Bacterial small subunit ribosomal RNA", at positions 524 to 773 of the family's 1533-position model. The record is from RNAcentral.